CGUGUUGUUUUGUUUUUAACAAAUCCUUUAAUGUAGUUUCAUUGUUUCAACUUACAAGGGUUUCUUUAAAAAAAAACAUGCAAGGGCUAAUUUGUAAGAAUGAACAGUUUUUUUGUCUACAAUAUAAAUAUAAUCUGAAAAAAAAGAUAUAAAGAUUCGGUUAAGUCUGUAAGUAAAUUGAAGAAAUUGUUGGUUACGUUCUUCAAUCUCCAUCAUGGCAGAAUUCAACGGAACAGCAAGAAGAAGCAUCCCCAUUCCUGAAGCUUCUUCAAAGAAUUCACAAAUCGUAUUACCGUCAUCGCAGCUCAGUCUUGGUAGUUUCGAGGAGGAGAUGAGAGUAGGGUCUCAGUCUCAGUCGUCUUUGAAAACUCGCACGCCAUUCUGUGGUCAUUUGCAGCGGAAGAAAAGAGUAGCUAAAUACAAGAUGUAUAAUGCAGAGAGCAAGAUGAAGGCAUCUUUGAAGAAAAGCUUGAAAUGGUUCAAGAGGAAGUGCGUUCAGAUCGUCGACCGUCUGACGUAGGUGAUCCAUUGGUCCGAAGUAUAUAUAUCCCUGUAAAAAAUAAUAAGAAAUUUUAUUCAAUUUCUGGAUUUCCGUGAUUUCUGGAUUUUAUUUUUAGAACAUACAUGCAUAUUCUCAGGUAAUUUAGAGCUUUGUUAAUAAUCAAUCAAUUAAUCACCUGAGAAGAAGGAGGAAAAGAGAAGACGAUCUGUAGUUGUAGUUGAACUUGAGAUUAUUGUUCUUUGAUCGGAAAAACUUAUUCUGGAAUCUUUUUCUUCUUUCUGCAUUUGAAAAAUCUGUAAGAAAUAUAUAGUUGAAAGGAAGGAAUUAUGAUCACAAAUCUAUUUUAUCAUACCUAUUUUAUCCAAUGGUUCAAAUUUUAUGAAUGUUAU
RNAcentral lists this long non-coding RNA (891 nucleotides) under Zostera marina. RNAcentral's name for it is "long non-coding RNA (ZMAR_LNC003037)". The record is from RNAcentral. Lineage: Eukaryota; Viridiplantae; Streptophyta; Magnoliopsida; Alismatales; Zosteraceae.